AGGGUGUAAACGCUGCAGACUUGGUGUUGGAAGUCCUUUGGGGGCAUUCAGUGCCGGAGAGAAGUUGUUAAGUCUGCUACUUGGGGAGUACGUCCGCAAGGAUGAAACUUAAAGGAAUUGGCGGGGGAGCACCGCAACGGGAGGAGCGUGCGGUUUAAUUGGAUUCAACACCGUAAACUCACCAGGGAAGACAGCGGAAUGAUUGCCGGGCUGAAGACUCUGCAUGACUAGCUGAGAGGUGGUGCAUGGCGUAGACGUCU
RNAcentral lists this ribosomal RNA (260 nucleotides) under uncultured archaeon. RNAcentral describes it as "partial 16S ribosomal RNA". It matches the Rfam family "Archaeal small subunit ribosomal RNA", at positions 748 to 1009 of the family's 1478-position model. The record is from RNAcentral.